Molecule: long non-coding RNA, 704 nt
Filed under: Elaeis guineensis (African oil palm)
Lineage: Eukaryota; Viridiplantae; Streptophyta; Magnoliopsida; Arecales; Arecaceae
Description: long non-coding RNA (EGUI_LNC073170)
Source: RNAcentral
CUCCUUCUCUAAGUCACCCAUAAACCAUUUUCCUCCGUGACAACCUCCACCUUCGUCCUUUCUUCCCUUCCCCAUUUUCUUCCUCCCUAUCCUCUUCUCCUCUUUUUCCUCUUCUUCCAUCAUAUUCCUUGCGGACGGCCUCUCUUCCUUCCUUCCCUUCCUUCUCAUCCUCUUUCUCCUCCAAAUCAACUUAUUAGCUCAAUCCCUUUAGAUGGCCUCCUCUACAUCCGCCUCUUCUCAUCGAUAAAAAAAUCCUUUCUUCUCUCCUUCUCACUCAUUUCUUCUCCUCCAUGAUGGCUCUCCUUCUAUCUCCUUUUCUUCCUCCUUAUCUAUUUCAUCUUCUUAUCUUCCUCUUCCUCCAAACCAUCUAUAAGCCAUCUUCUUCACGGUGGCCCCUUCUACCUCUAUCCCUCUCCGUUUGUAAUCCAUUCUUCCUCUCUUCUUCCUCUCCACCUUCUUCUUCUUCUUCUUGUCCUGCUUCUCUUCCAACCCAACAUCACUUCUCCCCUCUUCUCUUUCUUUCUCAUCUAUUUUUUUUCUCAUCUUCUUCCUCCUCUAAGCCCACUGAUGAAUAAAAGAUAUUUUCGUCUAUUGAGAAAUAAAUCUAACACCGUUGAUUGGUAAAAUAAACGGUUAGAUCACAUUGGAAUAUAUCGAUAAUUAGAAGGGUCAAUUGAUAUUUUUUAAGAUAUAGGAGUAUAAAU